This 600-nucleotide ribosomal RNA is filed under the name uncultured bacterium. Its description in RNAcentral is "bacterial SSU rRNA". It matches the Rfam family "Bacterial small subunit ribosomal RNA", at positions 82 to 678 of the family's 1533-position model. The record is from RNAcentral.
GCUCCAUGAUUCAGCGGCGGACGGGUGAGUAAUGCCUAGGAAUCUGCCUAUUAGUGGGGGACAACGUUUCGAAAGGAACGCUAAUACCGCAUACGUCCUACGGGAGAAAGCAGGGGACCUUCGGGCCUUGCGCUAAUAGAUGAGCCUAGGUCGGAUUAGCUAGUUGGUGAGGUAAUGGCUCACCAAGGCGACGAUCCGUAACUGGUCUGAGAGGAUGAUCAGUCACACUGGAACUGAGACACGGUCCAGACUCCUACGGGAGGCAGCAGUGGGGAAUAUUGGACAAUGGGCGAAAGCCUGAUCCAGCCAUGCCGCGUGUGUGAAGAAGGUCUUCGGAUUGUAAAGCACUUUAAGUUGGGAGGAAGGGCAUUAACCUAAUACGUUAGUGUUUUGACGUUACCGACAGAAUAAGCACCGGCUAACUUCGUGCCAGCAGCCGCGGUAAUACGAAGGGUGCAAGCGUUAAUCGGAAUUACUGGGCGUAAAGCGCGCGUAGGUGGUUUGUUAAGUUGGAUGUGAAAGCCCCGGGCUCAACCUGGGAACUGCAUCCAAAACUGGCAAGCUAGAGUAUGGCAGAGGGUGGUGGAAUUUCCUGUGUAG